This 253-nucleotide ribosomal RNA is filed under the name uncultured bacterium. RNAcentral's name for it is "partial 16S ribosomal RNA". It matches the Rfam family "Bacterial small subunit ribosomal RNA", at positions 524 to 776 of the family's 1533-position model. The record is from RNAcentral.
UACGAAGGGGGCUAGCGUUGUUCGGAAUUACUGGGCGUAAAGCGCGCGCAGGCGGUCUUCCAAGUCAGUGGUGAAAGCCCGGAGCUCAACUCCGGAAUUGCCAUUGAAACUGUUGGACUUGAGGAUGAGAGAGGUGAGUGGAAUUCCCAGUGUAGAGGUGAAAUUCGUAGAUAUUCGGAAGAACACCAGUGGCGAAGGCGGCCAACUGGUCCGGCACUGACGCUGAGGUGCGAAAGCGUGGGGAGCAAACAGG